UGGGGAAUUUUGGACAAUGGGCGAAAGCCUGAUCCAGCAAUGCCGCGUGUGUGAAGAAGGCCUUCGGGUUGUAAAGCACUUUUGUCCGGAAAGAAAUCCUUGGCUCUAAUACAGUCGGGGGAUGACGGUACCGGAAGAAUAAGCACCGGCUAACUACGUGCCAGCAGCCGCGGUAAUACGUAGGGUGCAAGCGUUAAUCGGAAUUACUGGGCGUAAAGCGUGCGCAGGCGGUUUGCUAAGACCGAUGUGAAAUCCCCGGGCUCAACCUGGGAACUGCAUUGGUGACUGGCAGGCUAGAGUAUGGCAGAGGGGGGUAGAAUUCCACGUGUAGCAGUGAAAUGCGUAGAGAUGUGGAGGAAUACCGAUGGCGAAGGCAGCCCCCUGGGCCAAUACUGACGCUCAUGCACGAAAGCGUGGGGAGCAAACAGGAUUAGAUACCCUGGUAGUCCACGCCCUAAACGAUGUCAACUAGUUGUUGGGGAUUCAUUUCCUUAGUAACGUAGCUAACGCGUGAAGUUGACCGCCUGGGGAGUACGGUCGCAAGAUUAAAACUUCAAAU
This 559-nucleotide ribosomal RNA is filed under the name uncultured bacterium. RNAcentral describes it as "partial 16S ribosomal RNA". It matches the Rfam family "Bacterial small subunit ribosomal RNA", at positions 355 to 907 of the family's 1533-position model. The record is from RNAcentral.